UUCCCAAGACCAUAACUUGCUCAAUUUUUAUGAGAUGAAAUCCAUUCAAAUUCCAUAAUCAAAUUCAAGAUGUAUAAUUCAACUCUGAUGUUUGAAGGAAGUUCAAAUUCAACUUUCAAAUGCAUGUGCCAAGAGGAAACAUUAUAUGUCAUUUUGGGUCAAUACCAUUGAACAAGUGAUUUUCCUCAACUUCUAAAAUGCAUAACUUCUUAAUGACAAAUCCAAAUUAGGUCAAAUUUAU
This 241-nucleotide long non-coding RNA is filed under the name Lathyrus oleraceus (garden pea). Its description in RNAcentral is "Pisum sativum (pea) long non-coding RNA (PSAT_LNC010487)". Lineage: Eukaryota; Viridiplantae; Streptophyta; Magnoliopsida; Fabales; Fabaceae. The record is from RNAcentral.